GUCAGGUGUGGUGGCACACACCUGUAAUCCCAGCUACUUGGGAGGCUGAGGCAGGAGAAUCACUUGAACUCAGGAGGUGGAGGUUGCAGUGAGCCGAGAUUGCGCCACUGCACUCCAGCCUGAGUAACAGAGUGAGACUCUGUCUCAA
This is an unclassified non-coding RNA of Macaca mulatta (Rhesus monkey), 148 nucleotides long. It matches the Rfam family "Metazoan signal recognition particle RNA". Rfam says of the family: The signal recognition particle (SRP) is a universally conserved ribonucleoprotein. It is involved in the co-translational targeting of proteins to membranes. NCBI's taxonomy places the organism in Eukaryota, Metazoa, Chordata, Mammalia, Primates, Cercopithecidae. The record is from Ensembl.